UGAAUGAUCUCAGGGUGUGUCUGACCCACAGCUCCUUCUGGAGACAGAGAAAAGUCUCUCCUAGGUAUUUGGUUGUCAACCUCAACUGCUUGCUGAGCCUUCCCCAAGACCAGGCACCUUGGCAGAGAUUUCUGGGUUGUCAGGCAGAACCGAGCAUUCGAGGGUGAUAACUCACUGGAGUCCCUGAAAUCCCUGAUGGACGCACCAGGUAAAAGCAUCCAGGGUUGAAACCAGAUCAGGAAGGUUAUUGUCAGCCUGGGGCUCCUGUAGAGGUGCAUCCACGUUGCAGGUAUUUUCCUUCUUGCUGAGGAGAAACCUGGAUUUCUCAGCUUUGGCACAGUCACAACAUUUGGGGUGAGACCAUUCGUGGUGGUGGUGGGGGGGCAUCCUGUGUAUUGUAGGACGGUUAGCAGCAUCUGUGGUCUCCAUCCUCUAGGUGCCAUUCUACCCUCCCAGCUAUGGCUACCCCAGAUGUCUCCAGAUGGUUUCAAUGCUGUGGGGCAAGGGAGUGGUACGUGAGGAAAACCACCACAGUUGAGAGCCAUUGGUCUACACUUGUGGAAAUGUUUGAGGCUGGACUACACAGGCUGAAGUUCUCUGCCGAGAUAUAGAUAUUUCCCUGGCGAUGAUCUUUCAAGUUGACAUGAAGACAUGGCCACCCGCUGGAACAUCGUGGGUCUGCCGUGGCGCUCUUGUAAUUUGUGAGGCAGGCUCCUGAUGAAUGCAGUGAGUGGUCAUUUUUCUUCUUGUGGCCUCUGGAAUGUGACACAGAACUCAAGGGACAGGAAGGAGAUGAGUUGGAGGCUGGGACAGGGGUCCCUGCCAGGGAUGCUGGUGACUCACGUGACGGUGUUGAUGUGUGGAGUCCGGUGCCUGGUUUGGGGAAUGUUCGUGGGAUAUGUUCCAAAGGACUGACGGACCUAUCAGGUACUGGAGGUGAAUGGUCAAGUCUGAUCUCAGGGCUGACAGUGUCAGGCAAGGACAGGAAGUUGGCAUUGGUCUCAUUGGCUGAGGUUGCUGGGGACCCAGGGGGCAAUGUGUGCCAGGACAGAUGGGUCUGGGGCUAGGAAGGCAGGUUUGGGCUGGCGACCCGGGCUUGGGAGGCAUCCCAGGUAGACAGUGGUUGAGGCUGUGGAAAUGACGGCGAUUGCCUGGGAUGAGAGUGGAGACAGACAAGAUGGGGGUUUUGCUUUAAGCCUGGGGAGCCCACCUCCCAGGUUCAAGCGAUUCUCCUGCCUCAGUUUCCCAAGUAGCUGGGAAUGCAGGUGCGUGCCACCA
Long non-coding RNA from Homo sapiens (human), 1278 nucleotides. RefSeq lists it as uncharacterized. The record is from RefSeq and is a predicted model, not a curated record. The transcript has 3 exons. Lineage: Eukaryota; Metazoa; Chordata; Mammalia; Primates; Hominidae.